This is a non-coding RNA of Eremomyces bilateralis CBS 781.70, 80 nucleotides long. NCBI's taxonomy places the organism in Eukaryota, Fungi, Ascomycota, Dothideomycetes, Eremomycetales, Eremomycetaceae. The record is from the annotation of a RefSeq genome assembly.
GCACCAGUAGUUUAAGGGUAGAAUCCAAGCUUCCCAUUGGAAGCCUGCUUGGGGACCGUGUUCGAGUCACGGCUGGUGCA